This 632-nucleotide ribosomal RNA is filed under the name uncultured bacterium. RNAcentral's name for it is "bacterial SSU rRNA". It matches the Rfam family "Bacterial small subunit ribosomal RNA", at positions 223 to 870 of the family's 1533-position model. The record is from RNAcentral.
GGAGGGGGCUGUGGCCCAUCAGCUAGUUGGUAGGGUAAAGGCCUACCAAGGCGAGGACGGGUAGGGGGCCUGAGAGGGUGACCCCCCACACUGGAACUGAGAGACGGUCCAGACUCCUACGGGAGGCAGCAGUAAGGGAUAUUGCCCAAUGGACGGAAGUCUGAGGCAGCAACGCCGCGUGCGGGAGGACGGCCUUCGGGUUGUAAACCGCUUUUGGAGGGGAAGAGGGAGGACGGUACCCUUCGAAGAAGUCUCGGCUAACUACGUGCCAGCAGCCGCGGUAAAACGUAGGAGGCGAGCGUUAUCCGGAUUUACUGGGUGUAAAGCGCGUGCAGGCGGCGGCGCAAGUCGUGUGUGAAAGCUCCCGGCUCAACCGGGAGAGGACGGACGAGACUGAGCUGCUAGAGGCAGGUAGAGGUGUGUGGAAUUCCGGGUGUAGUGGUGAAAUGCGUAGAGAUCCGGAGGAACACCAGUGGCGAAGGCGGCACACUGGGCCUGGCCUGACGCUCAGACGCGAAAGCAUGGGGAGCGAACGGGAUUAGAAACCCCGGUAGUCCAUGCUGUAAACGAUGCGGACUAGGUGUUGCGGGUUGAAUCCCCUGCAGUGCCGAAGCGAACGUGAUAAGUCCGCC